GGGGGCGAACUGGAUUCGACGUGGGUCGCGAAACUUCGAGUGCAUGCCGAGGAACAGAUCACCUCGUUAAACCAACUGUAAAACUUAUAGUUGCCAACGACGACAACUACGCGCUAGCUGCCUAAAAAACUGCCUAGCGCCCUCUGCCCGGCUCGUGCUUGUGCGGCUGGAACCCAGGGGUCACCGACACAAGACCGCAGUGAAAACACGUUCAGGGUUUGACCUGUUAAAUACUUACUGAACUGGUUGCAGGUCUUCCCUGUCCGUUGGGUAGCCGGUAAUGAGAAUAAAAACGGAAUAAGCAUGUAGACCUCGUAGCGGAGGGCUUGCGGACGCGGGUUCGAUACCCGCCGCCUCCACCA
This 362-nucleotide transfer-messenger RNA is filed under the name Woeseiaceae. RNAcentral's name for it is "SZUA-117 sp913031125 Standard tmRNA". It matches the Rfam family "transfer-messenger RNA". Rfam says of the family: Bacterial tmRNA, also known as 10Sa RNA or SsrA, is named for its dual tRNA and mRNA-like properties. Its role is to liberate the mRNA from a stalled ribosome. The record is from RNAcentral. RNAcentral also lists the same sequence under 2 other names. Lineage: Bacteria; Pseudomonadati; Pseudomonadota; Gammaproteobacteria; Woeseiales.